GGGUUUGUAACUCAGUGGAUUAGAGUACGCGUUUCCGAAGCGCGGUGUCGAGGGUUCAAUUCUCUCCUUACCCA
RNAcentral lists this transfer RNA (74 nucleotides) under Microthamnion kuetzingianum. RNAcentral's name for it is "tRNA-Arg". It matches the Rfam family "tRNA". Rfam says of the family: Transfer RNA (tRNA) molecules are approximately 80 nucleotides in length. Their secondary structure includes four short double-helical elements and three loops (D, anti-codon, and T loops). Further hydrogen bonds mediate the characteristic L-shaped molecular structure. tRNAs have two regions of fundamental functional importance: the anti-codon, which is responsible for specific mRNA codon recognition, and the 3' end, to which the tRNAs corresponding amino acid is attached (by aminoacyl-tRNA synthetases). tRNAs cope with the degeneracy of the genetic code in two manners: having more than one tRNA (with a specific anti-codon) for a particular amino acid; and 'wobble' base-pairing, i.e. permitting non-standard base-pairing at the 3rd anti-codon position. The record is from RNAcentral. RNAcentral also lists the same sequence under 1 other name. Lineage: Eukaryota; Viridiplantae; Chlorophyta; Trebouxiophyceae; Microthamniales; Microthamniaceae.